AUACCCACCUUUUCUUUCUACCUACCUCUAGCAAAUCCCGGUGGGAUUUCUGGAUACUUAAAUCUGCCUGACUUGGAUUCCCAAGGAUGUUGAGAUGAAAUGGGACAGAAGCCAAGAGAACUAAAGAAUGCAAUCAGGGACGCGGGGAGGCAAAGCCAGCUCUUCAAUGGUGACCAUAACUGUUAAGUCUCUUCUUUGCAAGAAAUUCAGCAUGAGUGAAUUUAGCAGCAAUUUUAUAAGAUCCUCAUGUGCAAGACCAACCGGAAAGAAGAAACAGUUUGAGGGCUUGUGUGGAGUGUGGAGCAGCACACUGUAGCAAUACCACAUCAACUUCAAAGUGCCCUUUGUGGAAUCAGAUGGAAAAUUCUGUGAGAUGAAAUUUUAAAGAAAUGCUUGCCAGCCA
This 403-nucleotide long non-coding RNA is filed under the name Chinchilla lanigera (long-tailed chinchilla). RNAcentral's name for it is "lncRNA (ENSCLAG00000028552.1)". Lineage: Eukaryota; Metazoa; Chordata; Mammalia; Rodentia; Chinchillidae. The record is from RNAcentral.